AAUACGGAGCCUGAGUAAAAGGGAUAUCUUGAUGUGAUAUAUAUUGUAAACUAUUACCUGUAUUG
Molecule: transfer RNA, 65 nt
Filed under: Scelimena melli
Lineage: Eukaryota; Metazoa; Arthropoda; Insecta; Orthoptera; Tetrigidae
Description: tRNA-Ile
Source: RNAcentral